UACGAAGGGGGCUAGCGUUGUUCGGAAUUACUGGGCGUAAAGCGCACGUAGGCGGAUAUUUAAGUCAGGGGUGAAAUCCCGGGGCUCAACCUCGGAACUGCCUUUGAUACUGCAAAUCUUGAGUCCGGAAGAGGUGAGUGGAAUUCCUAGUGUAGAGGUGAAAUUCGUAGAUAUUAGGAAGAACACCAGUGGCGAAGGCGGCUCACUGGUCCGGUACUGACGCUGAGGUGCGAAAGCGUGGGGAGCAAACAGG
RNAcentral lists this ribosomal RNA (253 nucleotides) under uncultured bacterium. Its description in RNAcentral is "partial 16S ribosomal RNA". It matches the Rfam family "Bacterial small subunit ribosomal RNA", at positions 524 to 776 of the family's 1533-position model. The record is from RNAcentral.